GGGAGACUACAUCUCUACUUCUAACCUCUAAGAAGCACUUUCUCGCUCACUUGGCUUGGUUAGCUUGCUUUUAUGGGCUUACUGGCUUAUUGAAUGGUAGUACUUCCUUUCUUUCUGGUUUGGAAUAGAUCAAAGGUCUUCGGUUUAACGAGAACUGGCUUCUAUCAUUCACCUAUAGGUAUGAGAAGAAAAUUCCUCUCUGCUCACUUGACAAGUUUCCAGAAAGAGCGUCUUUUGAGUCAGAAAGUUCAGCUUGCGUAGAACAAAGAAAGCCAUUGACUACUUCACUAAAAAUGAGUAGAAUCCGCUUCAUAUGCUAAUCCCAAAAGUGUCGUUCCUGCUCACAAUAUCUGUCUUCCUAUGUUUUUGUAAAUUCUCUAUCUUUUU
This 387-nucleotide long non-coding RNA is filed under the name Linum usitatissimum (flax). RNAcentral's name for it is "long non-coding RNA (LUSI_LNC006576)". Lineage: Eukaryota; Viridiplantae; Streptophyta; Magnoliopsida; Malpighiales; Linaceae. The record is from RNAcentral.